Molecule: ribosomal RNA, 254 nt
Filed under: uncultured bacterium
Lineage: Bacteria
Description: partial 16S ribosomal RNA
Rfam family: Bacterial small subunit ribosomal RNA
Source: RNAcentral
GACGUAGGGCGCAAGCGUUGUCCGGAUUUAUUGGGCGUAAAGAGCUCGUAGGCGGCUUGUCGCGUCGACUGUGAAAACCCGUGGCUCAACCAUGUGGUCUGCAGUCGAUACGGGCAGGCUAGAAUUCGGUAGGGGAGACUGGAAUUCCUGGUGUAGCGGUGAAAUGCGCAGAUAUCAGGAGGAACACCGGUGGCGAAGGCGGGUCUCUGGCCUGUUCUUGACGCUGAGGCGCGAAAGCUAGGGGAGCAAACGGG